AAUGGGUCAGCGACUUAUAUUCUGUAGCAAGGUUAACCGUAUAGGGGAGCCGAAGGGAAACCGAGUCUUAACUGGGCGUUAAGUUGCAGGGUAUAGACCCGAAACCCGGUGAUCUAGCCAUGGGCAGGUUGAAGGUUGGGUAACACUAACUGGAGGACCGAACCGACUAAUGUUGAAAAAUUAGCGGAUGACUUGUGGCUGGGGGUGAAAGGCCAAUCAAACCGGGAGAUAGCUGGUUCUCCCCGAAAGCU
RNAcentral lists this ribosomal RNA (251 nucleotides) under Citrobacter freundii. RNAcentral's name for it is "partial 23S ribosomal RNA". It matches the Rfam family "Bacterial large subunit ribosomal RNA", at positions 614 to 867 of the family's 2925-position model. Lineage: Bacteria; Pseudomonadati; Pseudomonadota; Gammaproteobacteria; Enterobacterales; Enterobacteriaceae. RNAcentral also lists the same sequence under 1 other name. The record is from RNAcentral.